Molecule: long non-coding RNA, 704 nt
Organism: Musa acuminata AAA Group (dessert banana)
Lineage: Eukaryota; Viridiplantae; Streptophyta; Magnoliopsida; Zingiberales; Musaceae
Exons: 3
Source: RefSeq, a predicted model, not a curated record
UCUUUGCCUCCGGAUCUUGAUGAUCACGUUGUUCUCUGAGAAUGUAGCACCGGUAAAUUGCCAAACCAGAUGGCGGUCUCCGGCUCGGUUUCUCUGCUUCUGCGUCAAAUGUUGAAGCAGCGCCUCACAGUUCAUGUGAUUUUAAUUGCAGCGGUGGAUUUGGGUUUCGCGAGGAUCGACCGACUACAUUUGUCAUGUAAUUUCUGCUUCCGGUCGUGCAAAGAGGAGUCUAAAUGCUUGGCAUCACAGGAAUAAAUGCAAAGCCCACUCAGUGCUCGCGUACAUCCAUACAAAGACAAAAACCACAGCUUGGGAACUGGAAGCAACCUGCCAAAUAUAAAGCCGGGACGGAAAGGGACUCGGCCUUCUACUGCACCUCUUUAUUUAUUCAAGGGCAAAGAGGGUGGUCCAGAGCAACAGAUGCGAUGCAAUGCGAUGGUAAGCUCUGUCUGGGGCAUCAUACGACCAUGUGGUUCCCCUACUGCUUCCGCGCAGCCGAUGCAGAAGGAAUAGGAUGAGGGUAAAGGAAAAGUUCACCGAUGGUCCAUAUCACACUAUGUUUUGUCUUUGUCCAACCCGGAAGCAUCCCGAGGAUUUUAAUGACGAGCGAGCAAACAACCUCAAAUCAUACGAUGCGUGCAUCAGCAGGUAUGCUUGUUAUUAACUGAAAGAAACACACCAAUAAUUAUCAUGCAUGCUUGCAU